AAUGAACGCUGGCGGCGUGCCUAAUACAUGCAAGUCGAGCGAACAGACGAGGAGCUUGCUCCUCUGACUUUAUCGGCGGACGGGUGAUUAACACGUGGUUAACCUACCUAUAAGACUGGGAUAACUUCUGGAAACCGUGGCUAAGACCGGAUAAUAUAUUGAACCUCAUUGGUCAAUAGUUGAAUACGGUUUUUCUUUGGGUUAUAGAUGGAUCCGCGCCGCAUUAGCUAGUUGGUAAGGUAACGGCUUACCAAGGCAGCGAUUGUUAACCGACCCGAAGGGGGGAUCGGACACCCUGGAGCUGAGACACGGCCCCGACUCCGACGGGGGGCCGCAGCCGGGACUCUUCCGGAAUGGGCGAAAGCGUGACGGAGCAAAGCGGGCUGAGUCCUGAAGGUCUACGGAUGGGAAAACUAUGUUAUCCGGGAAGUACAAAUGUGUAAGUAACUAUGCACGUCUUGACGGUACCUAAUCAGAAAGCCCCGGCUAACUCCGUG
Molecule: ribosomal RNA, 497 nt
Filed under: uncultured bacterium
Lineage: Bacteria
Description: partial 16S ribosomal RNA
Rfam family: Bacterial small subunit ribosomal RNA
Source: RNAcentral